GACCCUUUACCCCUGCCUGCCCUGAACCUGAAACUGCCUGCCGUUCUGGACCCUUUACCCCUGCCUGCCCUGAACCUGAAACUGCCUGCCGUUCUGGACCCUUUACCCCUGCCUGCCUUUGACAUGUCGUUUGCCUGCCCCUGUCAGUACCCUGUCUAGCCUGCCAGGGCAAAGACUGUGGCGCCGGUGUUGAAGCCUAUCAAAGUUGUUUCACCAUGGCACAUGAUCGGACCUAGGGGUUCUGCCCAACACCCAGACAUGGAUCUACCUGAUGUCCUCCAUUACCUGCUCUCCAGGACCUAGGGGUUCUGCCCAACACCCAGACAUGGAUCUACCUGAUGUCCUCCAUUACCUGCUCUCCAGGACCUAGGGGUUCUUCCCAACACCCAGACAUGGAUCUACCUGAUGUCCUCCAUUACCUGCUCUCCAGGACCU
Oncorhynchus keta (chum salmon) is the source of this 435-nucleotide long non-coding RNA. RefSeq lists it as uncharacterized. The transcript is spliced from 3 exons. The record is from RefSeq and is a predicted model, not a curated record. NCBI's taxonomy places the organism in Eukaryota, Metazoa, Chordata, Actinopteri, Salmoniformes, Salmonidae.